GACGAACCGUGCGAACGUUGUUCGGAAUCACUGGGCUUAAAGGGCGCGUAGGCGGGCGACCAAGUCGGGGGUGAAAUCUUUCGGCUCAACCGGAAAAUAGCCUUCGAUACUGGCCGUCUGGAGGGAGGUAGGGGCGUGUGGAACUUCCGGUGGAGCGGUGAAAUGCGUUGAUAUCGGAAGGAACUCCGGUGGCGAAAGCGACACGCUGGAUCUCAUCUGACGCUGAGGCGCGAAAGCCAGGGGAGCGAACGGG
RNAcentral lists this ribosomal RNA (253 nucleotides) under uncultured bacterium. RNAcentral's name for it is "partial 16S ribosomal RNA". It matches the Rfam family "Bacterial small subunit ribosomal RNA", at positions 524 to 776 of the family's 1533-position model. The record is from RNAcentral. RNAcentral also lists the same sequence under 1 other name.